UACGGAGGGUGCGAGCGUUAUUCGGAAUUACUGGGCGUAAAGCGCGUGUAGGCGGCAGGGCAAGUCUGGUGUGAAAGCCCGGAGCUCAACCCCGGAAGUGCAUUGGAAACUGCUCUGCUUGAGUACCGGAGAGGAAGGGGAAAUUCCCGGUGUAGCGGUGAAAUGCGUAGAUAUCGGGAGGAAUACCAGUGGCGAAGGCGGCCUUCUGGACGGUUACUGACGCUGAGACGCGAAAGCGUGGGGAGCAAACAGG
RNAcentral lists this ribosomal RNA (253 nucleotides) under uncultured microorganism. Its description in RNAcentral is "partial 16S ribosomal RNA". It matches the Rfam family "Bacterial small subunit ribosomal RNA", at positions 524 to 776 of the family's 1533-position model. The record is from RNAcentral.